GCAACCGCUCUAUCGCUGGCAGAGCAAUCUGCGAGAGGAAAGUCCGGGCAGCAAAGAGUCGCCAUACUUCCUAACGGGAAGGGACACGUUCCUGCAAAGGGCGUGUUACAGACAGUGCCGCAGAAAAUAUACCGCUAUAUUCGAGGCCAAAAGCCUCUUGUGUAGUAAGGGUGAAAACGCGAGGCAAGAGCUCACGACGGGUGCAGCGAUGCACUUGGUGGUAAACCUUAUGGGCUGAAAGACCAAAUAUACCGACAGUUAAGGGUUGACUCGUCCGUUGUCGGGGGGUAGGUUGAUAAAGGCAGCCGGUGACGGUUGUCUUAGAUUAAUGAUAGAGAACCGUCUUGGCGGUUACAGAACCCGGCUUAUAGGUUGCC
RNAcentral lists this RNase P RNA (377 nucleotides) under bovine gut metagenome. RNAcentral's name for it is "Bacterial RNase P class A". It matches the Rfam family "Bacterial RNase P class A". From Rfam's summary of the family: Ribonuclease P (RNase P) is a ubiquitous endoribonuclease, found in archaea, bacteria and eukarya as well as chloroplasts and mitochondria. Its best characterised activity is the generation of mature 5'-ends of tRNAs by cleaving the 5'-leader elements of precursor-tRNAs. The record is from RNAcentral.